Molecule: unclassified non-coding RNA, 238 nt
Filed under: Hevea brasiliensis (rubber tree)
Lineage: Eukaryota; Viridiplantae; Streptophyta; Magnoliopsida; Malpighiales; Euphorbiaceae
Source: RNAcentral
AAGAUACAUCCGGUCUUCCAUGUGAGCUUCCUAAAGCCUUACUAUGCGGACAAGGAGGAUCCGGACAGAGGAAAAUCUCAGCUUCCUUUUCCCAACUUGCCUCAGUGUCGGGCAACCCCUUCCAUUUGAUCAGAAAUUCCGUGUGGUUGGGGACUCCUCGCUGGCGCACCACUCGUUCGGCCAAAAUUUCCCCAAUUUCCCGAUCAAAUGAGGUUACAACCGUGGGAGGGGCUCCCCG